This 1604-nucleotide ribosomal RNA is filed under the name Triticum aestivum (bread wheat). RNAcentral describes it as "partial small subunit ribosomal RNA". Lineage: Eukaryota; Viridiplantae; Streptophyta; Magnoliopsida; Poales; Poaceae. The record is from RNAcentral.
GUUUCGAGUCAGUUUGAGGGUGGCGGGGGAGUAAAGAGGAUAGGAGGGGUAAGAAGGGAGUAAGUACCGGUGCUGUAGGGGUAGGUGUCCGCUGCCGGGCCGCUAGACGAGACGCGGCGGGGAGUGAGGAGGACCGCUGCGGCCCAGGUAGGUGGCGCACGCGAGAGGAGAAGGAGGGUUACCAGCGGAACGAGGGGUAGUGGAUGCGGGUGAGACCGUCGGGGGUUGGGAUCAAGAGAGUGUGGGACAUCCAACUCCUCCUCACUCCGAAGACCCGCUCCUCCACGACCACCACCACGACGACCCGCUCCUCCGUGAACUAAACGCAAGCGGCCGCGACCUAGGCGUACGCGGCCGCGAACUAGACGAGGCAGCACCGAGGCCGCUGGAAUGGUACACCGAGGCCCUGUCCUUCCGAUGGGGCUGCUGUAUGUCCUCUGGAGUUGUGCGGUUACCUACGUCGGUCGGAGGUUGAGUGGUGCGUGGACGUGGUUGAACUACAUCCCUCUCCUCCUCACUCCGAAGAGAGUGCCCUACUGCGGGUCGGUACCCCGUCGUUGUUGGGUUCUAACGACAGUUUUAUUCGGAUUUAAGUCUCAGAAGCCUUCAGUUAAUGAAACUCGGAAACUCAAUCUUCGAUCAAUUACAUGGGAGUCGCCGGCACGAACUAUCCUCCCCGGUCCCUUCACGAAAUUCAGCAAGGUUCUUACACUCUGUCACAGUUCAGACAUUCCGUUCAGUUCCCCUAGGACACCGCCGUUCUAGGAAGUCGCCACGUUCUCUAAUUCCCAAGGUAUUAGCUAAGGCGCGGACAACGACAGGGGUUAAAAGUCGACCCACUGGCGGAGAACAGGUCAUCGACCGUGUACACUGUGCUACAAUGACCGUAACUUUCGUCGUCAUUACAAGACGUCAACCCACUGGCGGAGAACAGUUCAUCGACCGUAUACACUGUGUUCCAAUGACGGUAGCUUUCGUCGUUUGAUACGUCUUGUCUUUGUCCUCGUUACUUGCCUACAGUAACAAUUGUAGGAGUGUACGAACGUUUAGUCGGACGGCUCCUCAAACGGCGGCGGCUACGAAUCAGGCCUCUGUCAGCGCUGUCACAUCCGCUGCCGCAGACUUUCUAACUUCUCUUUCGUACGUGGACACAACCGCUCCUCCAGCAGCAGUACCUACAGCGCCAGCAGUAGCCGCAGCAGCCACGCCGGCAGCAGACCGCAGCAGCCACGGCGGCAGCAGACCGCAGCAGCCACGCCCGUAGGAGCCGCGCCCGCAAAGCCACCUCCCGUUGAGACUUCUCGCUGCCCUCCUAACCAACGGUGAUUAAAACCUCGCCUACACCGACAAAGUGACACAAAAAAAAGAAAAGAAAAUCAACCGCAACCGACUUCCUGCUGUCUCAAAGCAGGCGGGUGGAUUUAACGAAUCGCAUGUUGCACUCCCCAUGAAAAUACAUAAGUGCCAAUCUAGGGUAACUCAUCCGAAUAGAACUGGGAGGUUAACUACACAAAAGAAGACACAUGUCAUUCGCCCUACGCAAAUCCCCUCAAUUGCAAACGAAUAAAAUAUCAUCAUCUCUAUGUGUAGUCGGGGUCCGGGUC